AUUUUUUUGCAGGGGAAAGCUGGUGUUGAGAAAACAAGGUCUUGCCGAUGCGAAUGUCCUGCUCUUAUAAGGCUUCUGCGAGCAGAAGACAAUGGUUGGUAUAUUGCGGAGCAUAGAGAUACGCACAACUAGUCUCUUUCCCCUAACUUUGGUGAGAUAACCCACUGGCCAUCACACAAGCACAUAGAUGUUUACACCAGGGAUCUUGUGAAGCAGUUCAGGCAGAAAAAUGUCAACCUCCCUAAGGAGUACAGUAUCAUAGGAGGCUUCUCUGGGUCGAGGGAAAACGUUCCAUUCACAAAGAGGUCUUUGUGUAAUCUGUGUGGCAAGAUAAAUAGUGACCAAGUGGAUGAUGAUGUAAAGAAGACGAUGGACGUGUUUGUGGAGAUUGAGAAAGAUCCACACUUCACAUACAGGGUCCAAGCGUACAGUGAUGGUAGCAUCAAGAAUCUGAUGUGGCCAAGUGGGCGCAGCAGGCUGCAGUACUCCUUCUUUGGGGAUGUCAUAACAUUCGACAGAUCAUGA
Molecule: ribosomal RNA, 525 nt
Filed under: Triticum aestivum (bread wheat)
Lineage: Eukaryota; Viridiplantae; Streptophyta; Magnoliopsida; Poales; Poaceae
Description: partial small subunit ribosomal RNA
Source: RNAcentral